Molecule: ribosomal RNA, 426 nt
Filed under: uncultured bacterium
Lineage: Bacteria
Description: partial 16S ribosomal RNA
Rfam family: Bacterial small subunit ribosomal RNA
Source: RNAcentral
GUGAGGAAUUUUCCGCAAUGGGCGAAAGCCUGACGGAGCAAUGCCGCGUGAAGGAUGAAGGCCUAUGGGUUGUAAACUUCUUUUCUCAGAAAAGAAUUAUGACGGUAUCUGAGGAAUAAGCAUCGGCUAACUCUGUGCCAGCAGCCGCGGUAAGACAGAGGAUGCAAGCGUUAUCCGGAAUGAUUGGGCGUAAAGCGUCUGUAGGUUGUUUAAAAAGUAUUCUGUCAAAGAUUAGGGCUUAACCCUAGAUAGGCAGAAUAAACUUUUAAGCUAGAGUUUGGUAGAGGCAGAGGGAAUUCCCGGUGGAGCGGUGAAAUGCGUAGAUAUCGGGAGGAACACCAAAGGCGAAGGCACUCUGCUGGGCCAAUACUAACACUGAGAGACGAAAGCGAGGGGAGCAAAUGGGAUUAGAAACCCGGGUAAUCC